This is a long non-coding RNA of Xiphias gladius (swordfish), 332 nucleotides long. RefSeq lists it as uncharacterized. The record is from RefSeq and is a predicted model, not a curated record. The transcript has 3 exons. Lineage: Eukaryota; Metazoa; Chordata; Actinopteri; Istiophoriformes; Xiphiidae.
AACAGCCAGACCUUCCGUCGGCGGGCUGGACGCACUUGACGACCUUCCGCGAGUUUGUUUUUUUUUUUUGCGGAGACGUGUGGCUGAAACGGUGGAUCCAUCCGGACGUGGGUCCGCGUCGAAAGGGGGGACCAAUACCAGGUGGCGGCGAAGGUGGCGGGACGGUUGUUAAUCUGGAUUUCCGGCAGGUUCAUUGUUAAAGUGGCGGUGAGGCGGUGGAAGAGGUGAUGACUGAGGUUCAGCGCCAGACAAACACUGGAGAAUGUGGAACCAGGAGGGAAGAUGACACAAACUAGAGCCUGACCUGUAUCUUAGAAAAUGGAAACAUCUGG